UGGCGGCGUGCUUAACACAUGCAAGUCGAACGGAAAGGUCUCUUCGGAGACACUCGAGUGGCGAACGGGUGAGUAACACGUGGGCAAUCUGCCCUGCACACCGGGAUAAGCCUGGGAAACUGGGUCUAAUACCGGAUAGGACCACUUGGCGCAUGCCUUGUGGUGGAAAGCUUUUGCGGUGUGGGAUGGGCCCGCGGCCUAUCAGCUUGUUGGUGGGGUGACGGCCUACCAAGGCGACGACGGGUAGCCGGCCUGAGAGGGUGUCCGGCCACACUGGGACUGAGAUACGGCCCAGACUCCUACGGGAGGCAGCAGUGGGGAAUAUUGCACAAUGGGCGCAAGCCUGAUGCAGCGACGCCGCGUGGGGGAUGACGGCCUUCGGGUUGUAAACCUCUUUCACCAUCGACGAAGGUCCGGGUUCUCUCGGAUUGACGGUAGGUGGAGAAGAAGCACCGGCCAACUACGUGCCAGCAGCCGCGGUAAUACGUAGGGUGCGAGCGUUGUCCGGAAUUACUGGGCGUAAAGAGCUCGUAGGUGGUUUGUCGCGUUGUUCGUGAAAUCUCACGGCUUAACUGUGAGCGUGCGGGCGAUACGGGCAGACUAGAGUACUGCAGGGGAGACUGGAAUUCCUGGUGUAGCGGUGGAAUGCGCAGAUAUCAGGAGGAACACCGGUGGCGAAGGCGGGUCUCUGGGCAGUAACUGACGCUGAGGAGCGAAAGCGUGGGGAGCGAACAGGAUUAGAUACCCUGGUAGUCCACGCCGUAAACGGUGGGUACUAGGUGUGGGUUUCCUUCCUUGGGAUCCGUGCCGUAGCUAACGCAUUAAGUACCCCGCCUGGGGAGUACGGCCGCAAGGCUAAAACUCAAAGGAAUUGACGGGGGCCCGCACAAGCGGCGGAGCAUGUGGAUUAAUUCGAUGCAACGCGAAGAACCUUACCUGGGUUUGACAUGCACAGGACGCGUCUAGAGAUAGGCGUUCCCUUGUGGCCUGUGUGCAGGUGGUGCAUGGCUGUCGUCAGCUCGUGUCGUGAGAUGUUGGGUUAAGUCCCGCAACGAGCGCAACCCUUGUCUCAUGUUGCCAGCGGGUAAUGCCGGGGACUCGUGAGAGACUGCCGGGGUCAACUCGGAGGAAGGUGGGGAUGACGUCAAGUCAUCAUGCCCCUUAUGUCCAGGGCUUCACACAUGCUACAAUGGCCGGUACAAAGGGCUGCGAUGCCGCGAGGUUAAGCGAAUCCUUUUAAAGCCGGUCUCAGUUCGGAUCGGGGUCUGCAACUCGACCCCGUGAAGUCGGAGUCGCUAGUAAUCGCAGAUCAGCAACGCUGCGGUGAAUACGUUCCCGGGCCUUGUACACACCGCCCGUCACGUCAUGAAAGUCGGUAACACCCGAAGCCAGUGGCCUAACCCUCGGGAGGGAGCUGUCGAAGGUGGGAUCGGCGAUU
This 1438-nucleotide ribosomal RNA is filed under the name Mycobacterium kansasii. Its description in RNAcentral is "bacterial SSU rRNA". It matches the Rfam family "Bacterial small subunit ribosomal RNA". The record is from RNAcentral. Lineage: Bacteria; Bacillati; Actinomycetota; Actinomycetes; Mycobacteriales; Mycobacteriaceae.